AGAGUUUGAUCCUGCUCCAGGAUGAACGCUAGCGGCAGGCUUAACACAUGCAAGUCGAGGGGCAGCAUGUCCAGCAAUGGAUGAUGGCGACCGGCGGAAGGGUGCGUAACGCGUGAGCAACAUGCCCUAUACAGGGAGAUACACCAGGGAAACUUGGUCUAAUAUCCCAUAGCAUUCAUUGAAGGCAUCUUUAAUGAAUUAAAGCUUCGGUGGUAUAGGAUUGGCUCGCGUGACAUUAGCCAGAUGGUGAGGUAACGGCUCACCAUAGCAAUGAUGUCUAGGGGUUUUGAGAGGAAGGCCCCCCACACUGGGACUGAGACACGGCCCAGACUCCUACGGGAGGCAGCAGUGAGGAAUAUUGGACAAUGGAUGGAAAUCUGAUCCAGCCAUGCCGCGUGCAGGAAGACGGCCUUAUGGGUUGUAAACUGCUUUUAUACGGGAGCAAUAAGGGUUACGAGUAAUCCGAUGAGAGUACUGUAUGAAUAAGGAUCGGCUAACUCCGUGCCAGCAGCCGCGGUAAUACGGAGGAUCCGAGCGUUAUCCGGAAUUAUUGGGUUUAAAGGGUGCGUAGGCGGCCAUUUAAGUCAGCGGUGAAAUUUUGCAGCUUAACUGUAACAGUGCCGUUGAUACUGUUUGGCUAGGAUUUGGUUGUAGUGUGCGGAAUGUGUGGUGUAGCGGUGAAAUGCUUAGAUAUCACACAGAACACCGAUUGCGAAGGCAGCACACUAAGUCAUUAUUGACGCUGAGGCACGAAAGUGUGGGGAUCAAACAGGAUUAGAUACCCUGGUAGUCCACACUGUAAACGAUGAUAACUCGCUGUCGGCGAUACACAGUCGGGGCCAAGCGAAAGC
This 851-nucleotide ribosomal RNA is filed under the name uncultured bacterium. RNAcentral describes it as "bacterial SSU rRNA". It matches the Rfam family "Bacterial small subunit ribosomal RNA", at positions 8 to 858 of the family's 1533-position model. The record is from RNAcentral.